Paramuricea clavata is the source of this 1173-nucleotide non-coding RNA. The record is from the annotation of a GenBank genome assembly. NCBI's taxonomy places the organism in Eukaryota, Metazoa, Cnidaria, Anthozoa, Malacalcyonacea, Plexauridae.
UACGUUUUGGACAGUUAACUACACCCUAAAGCAUAGUUAAGGCCACAUAAAAAAAAUUACUUGUUUAGCGUCCCCGCCCGACCUGAUAAAAGUCCCCGACCUUCAAUUUUUUUUUUUUUUUUUUUUUUAAAUCUGUCCGAGUUUAGUGGAAAAACUCUAUAAAAAAGACCGUUUUACUUGAAAAAAUGGUGAUUUUAUUCUUCUGGGAGCUAUGUAAUACGUUUACACAAAGUUUCCUUCCCAGAAUAUGCCUGUUCGCAGCUAAAGUGUUCGCGCGUGACCGCCAAACGGUAAUUUUCUGUUUUAUUAAAAACAUGAACGGGAAGUUGAAAACAUGAACGGAUUUUGAAAGAAUUAAAGUGAGUUUUGACUGUGGUAAUAUACUGGAUUUCCUGCAUUUAGCAGAAUUUUGUGUUGCAUUUUACGGAAAAAAAAAAAAAAUCCGUCCGCCCGACCUAGAAAAAUUAAAAUGGGUGGACGCUAAACAAGUAAUUUUUUUUAUGUGGCCUAACUUUAACUACUUUUUAACUGCAGUUAAGGCUAACUACACUUUUAUACAACCGGCUUAACUACGUGAUUAAAGUUAACUAUUUUUUAAGGCUUUUUAGCUACUUUUUAACUGCAGUUAGCGCUAACUACGUUUUUAUACAACCGGCCCCAGUAUUGUAACUGAAAUUCCUGGAAAUUGGACGGAAAGUUGCAUAAGGUAAGGCCCAUUGACAUAUGUUUUUUCACAGUUAUUAUUAAUGUAAAUAUUUUAAGAAAUGUUUAUAGUUUGUAACGAGAGAGUGCCUCGCAUGGAACUUUGAGGGCAUUUUCAUAUGGGGAAAAGUUAUUCCUGUUAGUGAGAAAACAUUUCGACUAGCCAAAUAAUUUUAUUCUGUUCACAUGGAGAAACCGGCGUUAUCCCGCUUAAGCUGGCUCAAUACAGUUUUUUAAAAAAUGGAAAAUUCACGAUUUAGAUGCGUAUUUUUGGACAAUUAUUACUUGUUGAUAAACAAAAAGUGCCUUACUUAUAUCAUGGAUAAUAAAAUAAAUGGAUAUGAAACUUCUGACGUCAUUGACUGCAUCCUUGUUGAAAAACGUGACGUCACGCGUAUUGCGAAUGUUACCAAAGUUCUCGGCAUUUUUGUUGUUUUGCUAUAUUUUCCACUUUAAAAGGGUGAUCUUGAA